CCGCGGGAUUAGAGUUUGAUCCUGGCUCAGAACGAACGCUGGCGGCGUGGAUAAGACAUGCAAGUCGAGCGCUGAUUUCAGGGUAGCAAUAUUCUGGAGUCGGAGCGGCGCAAGGGUGCGUAACACGUGGGCAAUCUGCCGUGAAGUUUGGGAUAACUUGCUGAAAGGCGAGCUAAUACCGGAUGUGACCAUCGGGAGGCAUCUCCUGAGGGUUAAAGUUGGGGACCGUAAGGCCUGACGCUUCAUGAUGAGCCCGCGGCCUAUCAGCUAGUUGGUGAGGUAACGGCUCACCAAGGCUAAGACGGGUAGCUGGUCUGAGAGGACGACCAGCCACACUGGAACUGAGACACGGUCCAGACACCUACGGGUGGCAGCAGUCGAGAAUUUUUCACAAUGGGCGCAAGCCUGAUGGAGCGACGCCGCGUGGGGGAUGAAUGGCUUCGGCCCGUAAACCCCUGUCAUUUGCGAUCAAACCUCAUUAUUUAAAAGAUGAUGAGCUGAUAGUAGCGAAAGAGGAAGGGACGGCUAACUCUGUGCCAGCAGCCGCGGUAAUACAGAGGUCCCGAGCGUUGUUCGGAUUCACUGGGCGUAAAGGGUGCGUAGGUGGUGAGGUAAGUCGGAUGUGAAAGCUCGGAGCUCAACUCCGAAAUGGCAUUGGAAACUACCUUGCUAGAGGGUUGGAGGGGGGACUGGAAUGCUUGGUGUAGCAGUGAAAUGCGUAGAUAUCAAGCGGAACACCAGUGGCGAAGGCGAGUCCCUGGACAACUCCUGACACUGAGGCACGAAAGCUAGGGGAGCAAACAGGAUUAGAUACCCUGGUAGUCCUAGCCGUAAACGGUGCAUGUUUGCUGUAAA
Molecule: ribosomal RNA, 855 nt
Filed under: uncultured bacterium
Lineage: Bacteria
Description: bacterial SSU rRNA
Rfam family: Bacterial small subunit ribosomal RNA
Source: RNAcentral